UAUGAUUGAUGUUUAAUGGCUCUUAACAAAAACGUAGAGCUUUUGACCAUCUUUCUG
RNAcentral lists this microRNA precursor (57 nucleotides) under Ciona intestinalis (vase tunicate). RNAcentral's name for it is "microRNA cin-mir-4054 precursor". The record is from miRBase by way of RNAcentral. Lineage: Eukaryota; Metazoa; Chordata; Ascidiacea; Phlebobranchia; Cionidae.